AAUAAAAACUAGAGAAAAUAUUGUUAUUAAGAAAAAGACAGAAAACACCUUAAAGUAAAAGUCUGAAAUUCUCCAAGAACCCUUACCAAGUUCUUAUCUCCCACAAGCGCAACUCCAUACCCUAUGACCGGCUAAAAACCUUAUUUAUAUUGCAUAAGCAUUCCAAUUAUCCCUAAUAAAAGCCUUAGGGUUUGACUAGGAAACCAAAUAAUAAUAAAAUAAACUAGAAAUAAAAGCUCAA
RNAcentral lists this long non-coding RNA (241 nucleotides) under Malus domestica (apple). RNAcentral describes it as "long non-coding RNA (MDOM_LNC016659)". Lineage: Eukaryota; Viridiplantae; Streptophyta; Magnoliopsida; Rosales; Rosaceae. The record is from RNAcentral.